UGGGGAAUUGUUCGCAAUGGGCGCAAGCCUGACGACGCAACGCCGCGUGGAGGAUGAAGGUCUUCGGAUUGUAAACUCCUGUUGCCCGGGACGAAAUGUUCAGACCUAACACGUCUGAAUUUGACGGUACCGGGUGAGGAAGCCCCGGCUAACUCUGUGCCAGCAGCCGCGGUAAUACAGAGGGGGCAAGCGUUGUUCGGAAUUACUGGGCGUAAAGGGCGCGUAGGCGGCCUUCUAAGUCGAACGUGAAAUCCCUGGGCUCAACCCAGGAACUGCGUCCGAGACUGGGAGGCUAGAAUCCGGGAGAGGGAUGUGGAAUUCCAGGUGUAGCGGUGAAAUGCGUAGAUAUCUGGAGGAACAUCGGUGGCGAAGGCGGCAUCCUGGACCGGUAUUGACGCUGAGGCGCGAAAGCCAGGGGAGCAAA
Molecule: ribosomal RNA, 424 nt
Filed under: uncultured bacterium
Lineage: Bacteria
Description: bacterial SSU rRNA
Rfam family: Bacterial small subunit ribosomal RNA
Source: RNAcentral